Molecule: transfer RNA, 67 nt
Filed under: Marmota monax (woodchuck)
Lineage: Eukaryota; Metazoa; Chordata; Mammalia; Rodentia; Sciuridae
Description: tRNA.Ile
Source: RNAcentral
GGAUAUAGCUCAGUUGGUAGAGAGCUUGCCUUAUAUGCACAGGUCCUGGGUUUGAUCCCCAGCACCA